This 5273-nucleotide long non-coding RNA is filed under the name Xyrichtys novacula (pearly razorfish). Lineage: Eukaryota; Metazoa; Chordata; Actinopteri; Labriformes; Labridae. The record is from RNAcentral.
GAAAAGUCAUCCUCCUACCACAAGGGAGCCCAGACUCUUCCUUAAGGGGGCUGAGCCCCCAAUGGCCCCCUCGUAACUUGAACCCUGCCUCAACUAAAACAAACACAUAUCUUUAAAGUUAAUUGAUGAAAAAGGGAAAUCUGAAUGAAAAUAGGACAUCAUCAUGUUGGCCUGGUGCAAAGGGGAACAAGAACUGGAGCAAAUCUGGAUGAUGACACAGGUCUUCUUUUAACUAUCUGUCUUUUAUAACCUGUAAAAAAUUAUAAGGUACUGAUUUACCGAUACUGGCUACAGGACACACAUGCCAACAAAUGUAAAGAAAGGAACUUGGCACUUCAUUGUAAACUCACAAUGAUUUGGUGUCUCUCCUGUGUGAUACUCAACCAAAGUUGAGUCCCGGCCUUAAGUUUGGGAAAGGCUGCUCUGGGGAAUAGAUGCUCUCUAUCUUAAUAUAAAAAAAUUGGAGAAAACAACAUUAAGAAAGAUUUUUAAAUGGUAAAUGAUCAACAUCAUUCAUCAUAAAAAGUAACAUUUACAAUAUAGUUACAUCACACUGUUGAUGCCAAGCCAAUGUGAGACUGUAGUGGGUGGGAGAUUAGAGACAGAGUACUGCAAGAAAAAGGACCCUGAGGAAAAAACACACCAGCAAUGAACUUUUUACGUAAUAAUCAUACAUUCAACUGAGUUAAGUGAAUACCUAUCACAUCGUACCGUACUAUACCGUAUCAUAUGCUGACAACAAUACAAUGUGGAUAAUAUGUGCAUCCCUAAUGGUAAUGUUAAAUGACAGUUUGAGCUUUGUCCACAAACUUGUUGGUAUUAAUCAAACACCAGUACCAAAAGUAACCAGUUCUUGAUACCCUGUAAGCAGGUACAAAUUGGUCGAUUUUUGUUUGAUACUGUUUGGAGUCGAAAUAAAAGUCCAGUCUUUCUUUAUGGACUCUGCACUGAUUUGCUUGGUUAUAUUUUCCACUGCGCGGCCUGUUUGAACAUGAUGUCACCUACAAAGAGAAUUGGAAAAAUGAUUACAAAGUCAGUCAGUGACAGCAGUAGCUGGAGGGUCUGUGGUUUAAAUCCCUGCACUGACUGAGAAAACAUGGUACUGGUAAUGAGCAACACUUCUAUCAUUAUUCCAUCAGUACACAACUCCACCACGCCUAAAGAAAGGCGCUGAAUUCCCUUGCUGUAAUGGAGGAGCUGCUCUGUCAGUCCACAGGGUGGCUCCAAGUGUAAUAACAGCCUGUUUGGUAGAGUUAGGAUGGGCAGUACUUUGAAAACUUGAAACAUGUUGUAGUUGGGUUCGUCUCAAAGUUUUGUCUCCAUUGAGAAAUUUUCUCGAUGCUGAAAAACCCAGACAGAGCUGGAAGAAUUCCAAUUAGAAAAGAAAAGAACAACUGGAUCCCUGUUCAGAGCCUGCUCUAAAGCCUGAGGGAUUACCAACAAGUUUCUCUAACAAGUUAUCUAAAACUUUAGCCAUGUUAACCACAAAAACAAGACACCGCCGCAUAUACUAAUGAGGGCAAAUUGGGUGCAGGUUUGGCUUUAUGAUUGAUUCACAUGUCCUCAAGGCCAUAGUCACAAAGACGGCUGUUCAAUUUAACCAACAGCCCUUUACUGCAAGUCAACCCCUGCUUUACCUUUCUAAGUUUCCUACUCCGUCUACUCUAUCCAUGAAAAAGUACAUACAGGCCCAAUUCACAAAGAUCAUGCACACUGCACACACGAGUUUUACAUGAGGGAAAUAGUGAACUCUGACAUAGCGACUCCAUCUCUGUGUUUGCUUCAGUUUUUGUUUGAUUGUGACUGAGACGCUCUGCUGCUCAGAGCUGCACUCUCAUCCUGACAUUGCUAAAUGCUGCCCACUUAUUAUGAUGAGCUAGAUAGAGAGGAAGAGUCUUUUUAUGUUAAUUGUGUAGUUAAUACAUUACAUAUGUGACCAGUUUUACCUGCUUUAACAAGCUCUUUUUAGAAUAAAUAAAUACUUUAUUGUGCACAAUGACGCAGCCUGUAGCCUUAUGUGGGAGGUUGCGCCACAGACAGCCUGUACAGCUUUACCUUCUUAUCAUAAAAUACUAAUACCACAGCAAUAUUUAUAGACCUACUGUAUAGAUAUAGUAUUUCUAGAUCAUUCAGUUUUUGUCCUGAUCACUGUAGAGUUUGAGUGUAAUGACGCUUUGAGUAUUUGGCAGAACUGUCACUUUCAACUGCUCCAGGUUAUGGCACAGGUGUUAAUGAACAAAAUGUUCUCUGCAGUGUUGCUUGUUUGCAAAAAAAAAAAAGGUAAAUUUUGCAUAAUGGAUCAUUUAGAUGUUUGCAAACAAUACUAAUACAAAGUGAAGCAAUACUUGAAUCAGAAAAUGCCUCUUUGGCUUAUUUGCACGAGGCAAAAAUCAAUGCAAUCCUUUUGUGAAAUAGGCCCUACUUUUGAUAGAGGGGGUUUAAUAUACAGACCUGCUUCAUAUACUGCCUGGUACCUUUUUCAGUUAAAGAAAAUAAAGGACCCAGCUUAUAUUUGGAGAGUUACUCUGCGAUAAAAAGACGACAAUUGGAAUAUAGCCCCAAACGCUAAGUGCUGAACUAAAUUUCAGUAGUUUGAGCUCAACACUGUAUAUGUUAAAGUGGAAUUAUGUAAUCUGUGAAAGUUUUACUGAUCCUGAGUCUGCUUGUGGAUUUAAAAUGAUCUGGCUACCCGGAGACAACUGCAGGUCUUUAAAUUGAGCUGCAGCUCUGAGCUAAAGCCUGCCUCUCUCAUUCAUCAUUAAGCAUAUAGAUGCAUGCAUUCACUGCUGCACACACACACAUACACACACACUACUACCAACAUGGUCACAUCAGCAUGUGGGGCCAUAAAAAGGAUACUUAGAGUACACUUUGUUCCCUCAGAAAUGCAACAGAAGCAAACAGAGCUGCUCCAACCAAGCGUUUCCUCGUUGCUUUAUGAUCUAAUUUCACUAUCCGGUGAAACAGAUGACCGCAUUAGCAAUCUCUAUUGUGUUCUCAUACUGCUUAAAUGCGUUAUGUGUGUUUUUAGUGCAAUUAGCUGUGUUUAGGUAUUGUCCCUGGGAGUGUGCUUGCAUUUGCCAGUGCAGGUUCUUAAGCGGGCUCGCAGUGGAAAUACAUUCAGGCACACCGUCAUAUAAUAAUUGUAAUGAACUGACAAAGCAAAAAGUUUUGAUGAGAAAAACUAAAUAAGGGGAGGUUUUUUCGAGGUGGAAACAGCAGAGUUUGCUUACAGCUGGAUCUCUGGUUGAUUGAAAAAAGAACAAGUAUGAAUAAUGCAUGUGGCGAGUAUGAAAUUACACUAUUACAGCUUUAAGAUAAUUUGUGUUUUGAGAGCUGAAGAUAAUUGUUUUGAGACUGUAAUUUUCCCUUUGCCUUGAAGAAACCUAAUUGAACUAAGUGGGAAGGAGGUGUUAGUAAAGAAAGAAUCUGUUUCUUUCCAGCAGCGGGCAUCCGAAGGUACAUGGAUCAAUGGAGGGAUUUUUAGCAUCAUACUGGCUUUAUCUGUGCGCACUGAUGCUAUCCUGGUGUUUCAUGGCUUUGUUUGUUUAACCAAAAGACAUUAAAAGUUACAGAAGAAGAAAAAAUGGGGAAAAAAAAAACAGAGAAAAAAGGCAGUGACUGUGAGGGGAAGUGGAGGAGCAGGAGAGAAGCUGCUGAUAUUCAGAUUUCAGUCAUGAGCAAACAGACAGGAAAAAUUUAGGACUCAGACUGUGACAUUGAAGUCUUUGUACAGUUGAGAAAAAGAGGUAUUGUGGGGGUUUAACAUGUAAGAAAAUAUAUAUACUGCCCACCCAGUUAAAUAUGAAUGAAAAAAUGUUGUCCACAACAAAAGUGGCAAACUGGCAGUGUGCAGAAGCCACGCCCACCAGCUGACCUCAAGUGCCAAUCACCUCUACACUACAGCCUGAAAGCUAGAAAAUGGAUCAGUCAACCUUUAACUCUCUUUCAUAGUAACUCUCCUGCCGUCCAUUUGCACCCGUAGACUGUGUAUUGAAUGGAUCCCAUCUGCCUCCUCGAAGCCAUCGUGAGUACAGCACCCUCUAGUGACGGGCUGCAGUAUAGGUCAUAAAUCCCGCCUCCUCCAGCAAUCCCUAUGGAGCUGUGGACAAACUUUAGAAAUUUAUUACAUAGAAAAUAUAUUUUCUCCCUCCUGGUUAUGAUGUUGACAUGUAGUUACUGUUAGACUGGUUUGUGCUCAAGUCCUCUUUUUUUCUGUACAGCACCAUUUUUAAAAGUUAUUAGAGGGUUCAUGUUUUCCAUUACUGACACCUUAUACAGCUUAUGGGCGUACGAAGAUUGCAUAGCUCACUUGGCAAUGUUUGAGCUAAGUCAUCACAGUGACUCCCGGCAACUCUCCCACCGAAUGUGUACAACACUACUGUGCAAGUGGUGGAGAGCAAUUUGGCUUCAAAUGUGUAUAAUGACAGAAGGCGGAGCCAAGUUGUGCGCAGUUUAUACAAUCUAUGUUUGCACCCUGAACCAAACGUAUCUAAUAUUUCCUACUUUAUGGACAUAUCCAGCCUCAAGGUGGACAAGGUAACCUGGUGCUAAAAUGGGGGUUAUGCAGCUGCUUUAAUAUUGUGUUCACCAGAAGAUUUCAUUUAAAAAGAGUUUGUUUUGAAACUUCAUUUCCCUGAAAGGUGCCCAGGAGUGAAGAAGGGUAAGUGUAAACAGAAGGAAGCACAUAAGCAUCUCAGUGGGAGCUCCAUAAUGAGUCUGUUAUGAUUUUGGUCAAACUUUUCCCCCACUGCAGUAUAAAGAAGAGCAAAUACCCUACAACAACUUAUAAAAUAUGCUGCUUGGCCUCUUUUGUUUAGCCAUAAGACAGAUGUAAAUUUAACCAUAUGAGCCUCUAAAUCUGGAGGGGAAACUUUGUGUGUCACCUCCUUCUUUCUCCACUUACUGUGUUUGUGGCUCGCCUUAAUUUCAUGAUUGUUUCCAUUCAUCUUGAUUUCUUCAAACCAUCAUUAAUCUCUGUGCCUUGAAUUAGGCCGUCUAGUCUGAACACUUCCCAAGACCUUCUGAUCUGUAGACGUAAGUCAGCUGAUACAACCCGACAAUUUACCGAGUAUGGUGAAGCAACACUCAGUCACUUUGCUGCUAGUAGCUGGGAUAAGCUACUUCUAAUAUCAAACAUAAACAUUUUUACAUACAUAUUUUGGGCUGGACUAUAUUCUUCAAAAACAAUUACUUGUAUGCAACAGUUGUUUUAAGCGCUUUGGCUCCAACCUGAGCCCCCGGCCCUUCCACAUGUGUAUGUGCAAUGCCAA